Dendroctonus ponderosae (mountain pine beetle) is the source of this 672-nucleotide long non-coding RNA. RefSeq lists it as uncharacterized. The record is from RefSeq and is a predicted model, not a curated record. Lineage: Eukaryota; Metazoa; Arthropoda; Insecta; Coleoptera; Curculionidae. The transcript is spliced from 2 exons.
CCUCAUCAACAUCUUCAACUUUUUUACUUGAUUAGCUUAUGAUUGAUUGCGGACAGAUGAACUUGGCCGACUUUUUCGACCGAAAUUAAUCAGCAUUUGGGCGACAUCGUUAAUCGGAAAUGCGUUGCAUUCUGUUGCACAGACUAAUAGCUCAAACAAUGGAAUUUUUCAUAAACAAUGUCGAUUUAAGACUAAUUUUAGCCGUUUGAUCCCAGAUAAGGCAGUAAAAAAUAGUUGUGCAAGGGAUUGAGUGUAAUUCUGAAAACAAACGGCGCAAUAUUGAAGCUUAGUCCGCAAGUCAGGGGCGCCGAUUUCCGGCCUGCAAGCCCGGCCUGACUAAUAUUUAGAUCAGCAGCCAUAGACCGCUGGUGCGCCACUGGUAUUUUUGUUUUUCUUUUGCGCUAACACUAUAAAAGCACCAAGUCCGCUAAUUUAAGAUUAGUAAAUCAAUUUGCAUUGUGGUGAUUUCAGAGCCCCCAACAAGCAGCAACAUGGUUAAUGGAUACCCGAACAUCAAGAUCAAUGGAACCACCAAUGGGCACAUCCAUAAGGCUCUUGAGACAGAAUAUGGACACCGAUACACUUAUGAGCUGCUACUGGAAACCGUCCAUUAUAUCAGAAACCGCGUCUCUUUUGCGCCGGUAGUGGGCGUCAUUUGCGGAUCAGGAUUGG